This 532-nucleotide long non-coding RNA is filed under the name Anser brachyrhynchus (Pink-footed goose). Its description in RNAcentral is "lncRNA (ENSABRG00000018413.1)". The record is from RNAcentral. Lineage: Eukaryota; Metazoa; Chordata; Aves; Anseriformes; Anatidae.
AUGCAAGACAAAAAGAAAAAGUGUGGGAUCCCAUAUCAUAGAGUGGGUGUCUGCUGUGCAAAAGGACAAAAAACACUCAUUUCCCAAACUGCAAAUCAAAGCAUCAGGCUGGAGAGAACAGAGAGAUGUGCACUUUAUCUUCUGAAUGUUUUCCUAAUAGAAGAAAUGCUGGAGGACAGAGAACGUAUCACAAAGAAUCAAUAGCCUUAUUCAUAUUCACUGACACUCCAACUGCUGAUUUCUUUACAGGGAAAUUGGCUCUUUUCCCCUACAAUUAGAAACUUCUCAUACUAUCAGCCAAGGCUGUUCCAUGCAAAUCUGAGAAUGAGCAGGAAAGGUGGAAAUAUACCAACUCUAUGAUGGCAAAUAACAAACGAUAAGAGAAACAAGAACUCACACGGAGCCAAAACAUUUCAGCCAAAUCCAAAUACACAUUGCAUAUACGGUAUUGCAUAUGCACGCACUCUGUAGCAGUUGCAGCUGCAGCUGUAGCAAAACACCUACUAAAAUCCAACUGUGAACAAGUAUUAAC